This 273-nucleotide ribosomal RNA is filed under the name uncultured Staphylococcus sp. RNAcentral describes it as "partial 16S ribosomal RNA". It matches the Rfam family "Bacterial small subunit ribosomal RNA", at positions 89 to 354 of the family's 1533-position model. The record is from RNAcentral. Lineage: Bacteria; Bacillati; Bacillota; Bacilli; Caryophanales; Staphylococcaceae.
ACGUUAGCGGCGGACGGGUGAGUAACACGUGGGUAACCUACCUAUAAGACUGGGAUAACUUCGGGAAACCGGAGCUAAUACCGGAUAAUAUUUCGAACCGCAUGGUUCGAUAGUGAAAGGUGGUUUUGCUAUCACUUAUAGAUGGACCCGCGCCGUAUUAGCUAGCUGGUAAGGUAACGGCUUACCAAGGCGACGAUACGUAGCCGACCUGAGAGGGUGAUCGGCCACACUGGAACUGAGACACGGUCCAGACUCCUACGGGAGGCAGCAGGC